GAUGAAGAACGCAGCGAAAUGCGAUACGUAGUGUGAAUUGCAGAAUACCUGGAACCAUCGAAUCUUUGAACGCAACUUGCGCUCGAGGCCUCGGCCAAGAGCAUGUCUGCCUCAGCGUCGGCUUUCACCAUCCUCAACCACCUCCUCUCUCACCAGAGGGCGCGUGCGCGAAGGAGAGCUGGCCGUUCCCGCUCGCUCGCGCGAGCCGGGUCGGCUGAAGAUCAUAGAGCGUGCACGUGCGACGACCUCGCCUCGCGGCGAGGGCGCAUCAGCUGGGUAGCUGGCAUCAUGCCGGACGAAGGCUGCAUGCCUCGCGUUGCCCACGUUUGAAAGCAGGAAACCAUACCACCAACCAUUCGACCUGAGCUCAGGCAAGGACACCCGCUGAACUUAAGCAUAUCAAUAAGCGGAGGA
This 414-nucleotide unclassified non-coding RNA is filed under the name soil metagenome. RNAcentral describes it as "partial contains 5.8S ribosomal RNA, internal transcribed spacer 2, and large subunit ribosomal RNA". The stretch from base 1 to 120 matches the Rfam family "5.8S ribosomal RNA", at positions 35 to 154 of the family's 154-position model. The record is from RNAcentral.